This 18-nucleotide microRNA is filed under the name Corchorus olitorius. RNAcentral's name for it is "hsa-miR-44". Lineage: Eukaryota; Viridiplantae; Streptophyta; Magnoliopsida; Malvales; Malvaceae. The record is from RNAcentral.
AGGAGAAGUAAAGUUUAA